This 329-nucleotide unclassified non-coding RNA is filed under the name soil metagenome. Its description in RNAcentral is "partial contains 5.8S ribosomal RNA, internal transcribed spacer 2, and large subunit ribosomal RNA". The stretch from base 1 to 120 matches the Rfam family "5.8S ribosomal RNA", at positions 35 to 154 of the family's 154-position model. The record is from RNAcentral.
GAUGAAGAACGCAGCGAAAUGCGAUAAGUAAUGUGAAUUGCAGAAAUCAGUGAAUCAUCGAAUCUUUGAACGCACAUUGCGCCCUCUGGUAUUCCGGGGGGCAUGCCUGUUCGAGCGUCAUUAUAACCACUCAAGCUCUCGCUUGGUAUUGGGGCUCGCGGUUCCGCGGCCCCUAAAAUCAGUGGCGGUGCCUGUCGGCUCUACGCGUAGUAAUACUCCUCGCGAUUGAGUCCGGUAGGUCUACUUGCCAGCAACCCCCAAUUUUUACAGGUUGACCUCGGAUCAGGUAGGGAUACCCGCUGAACUUAAGCAUAUCAAUAAGCGGAGGA